GAGGGUAUUGCUCAGUGGCAGAGUGCAUGCUUACCGUGUACAAGAUCCUGGGUUCAAUCCCCAGUACCUCCA
This 72-nucleotide transfer RNA is filed under the name Camelus bactrianus (Bactrian camel). It matches the Rfam family "tRNA". Rfam says of the family: Transfer RNA (tRNA) molecules are approximately 80 nucleotides in length. Their secondary structure includes four short double-helical elements and three loops (D, anti-codon, and T loops). Further hydrogen bonds mediate the characteristic L-shaped molecular structure. tRNAs have two regions of fundamental functional importance: the anti-codon, which is responsible for specific mRNA codon recognition, and the 3' end, to which the tRNAs corresponding amino acid is attached (by aminoacyl-tRNA synthetases). tRNAs cope with the degeneracy of the genetic code in two manners: having more than one tRNA (with a specific anti-codon) for a particular amino acid; and 'wobble' base-pairing, i.e. permitting non-standard base-pairing at the 3rd anti-codon position. RNAcentral also lists the same sequence under 2 other names. The record is from Rfam by way of RNAcentral. Lineage: Eukaryota; Metazoa; Chordata; Mammalia; Artiodactyla; Camelidae.